Molecule: RNA transcript, 2413 nt
Organism: Sorghum bicolor (sorghum)
Lineage: Eukaryota; Viridiplantae; Streptophyta; Magnoliopsida; Poales; Poaceae
Exons: 5
Source: RefSeq, a predicted model, not a curated record
UUUUCGCACCUAAACAAGGCCUAAUUGUACAGUUUAUUUGUAAUUUGUGAGACGAAUCUUUUAAGCCUAGUUAGUCUAUAAUUAGAUAAUAUUUGCAACAAACAAUCGAAAGUGCUACAGUGACUAAAACCUUUUCGUUUUGGCAACUGAACAAGGCCUGAUAUAUCCCAGGAGCCACCAAUUAUUCAUAGAACUCUUCCCAUGUCAUCGUUUUGCAGUCGAACUUACAGGUAAUGUAUAUACUACACCUAGUUAGUGAAGCAUUUGUACAGUUUAAAUUUAAAUUCCGUUGCGAAAUUAUUUUCAUUUUCCAUCAUCAGUCAACACUAUGUUUCAAUUGGGCCAGGUAGAAUGUGCCUCCAAUAAACACAGCACCUUUCACCCGCCCUGUUUUUCAGUUUUUGUCACGGGAUAUAGUACAUUGGGUUAGGGAGCUUGAAAGAGCGAGCACUCAUGGAAGAUCCCAGCAGGUCGCUCCAUUGGACGCCAGAGUUGCCUAGGAUCCUGUAACCCUCUUCUUCCAUUUCUUUCCUCAUUUCUGAUUUGUAGACUGUCGCUGUUUUCUUGUGGUCACCUGCUGCCCUCUUCACAAUGGGACGAAGAAGGUGGCAAAAUCGUGACACGCAUCAAUGGCAUGACUAUUGACGUCACAAUUGAGAGGAUUGAGCAAAUCCUUGGCCUUCCACGCGGAACUGAGGAGGGAAAGAGUGUGACUUUGCCGACAUCUGCACCCAACUAAGUUAUUGAUUUGUUCUUGCAACAUGGCAAAAGCAAAAAGGCCAUCCCAUCGGCAAAAAAGCUCACUCUUAAAAAUAUGGCUAUUGGUGCAGCUGACUUACUAGAUUUGAUGGAGGUUGUUGACACAAAAAUGAAAGUUAGGUGCUUUCUGAUGAUGAUCGUAUUGAACAAGUUCUUGAUUCCGUCGAGUGGCUCUCAUCUAAAUGACAGGCAGGCUCAAAUUGCUUGGGACCUUGAUUCUGUAGUAAAAAUUGAUUGGUGCAAACUGGUAUUUGAGGACUUGAAAGAUUGCAUAAAGAACAGGUAUGAUGACAACAACAAUUGUUCUGGUUGUUCAAUUGUUCUAUUGAUUGUUGUCUUCGAGGCUUUAGUGCCAUCUAAAUGUCCAACGACAGAACCAUCUGUCAUUGGUUACGACGAUGAAAAGUUGAAACUACUUCUUGAACAAAUUAGAGACAAGGUUGGUGUCAAGAAAGAAAGUGGCAUUGAUGUUAGCAAUAAAGCUCAGCCCACGGAGCAAAAUAGGUCUUUUCUGGAGUUUGAAGAGGAAAUUCAUGCAAUUAUGAAGGAAAUGGCUGAUCAUCUUGAUGAUGUGAAAUGUAUGGUGCCAGACGAAAAACGGGAAUCAAUUCAGUGCAGCCUCGGAACCUUCAAUACACUCACAAAGAGACUUUGGGCGCUGGAUCUUUGGGAUCCAUUUUACAAAGCCAAUGUUUUAAAUGUGGACAAUGACAGCAAUGGCAGCUAUACCAUGGUACGAAUAGGUGAACAUACGAUUACCAAAGCUAUCUUUCGUGAAAGCUUGAAGCCAGAUGGCUGGCUGAGCUCAUUUGUGAUAGAUGCACAAUGUGAAAUAUGGCGCUCACAAUGGCCGGACAAGAAAAUUAUUCUUACCACUUUUGCUUACUUGUAACUUUUACAUAAUACAUAUUCACCAUCUCAUGAAUUUUAUAGAAAGAAUUGCUGGAACCAAACACAAGUAACAAAAUCACUGGACGGAAGAAAAAGUAAAGGAUGUUACAAAGGUUUUGCUCUUUUCUAUUAUAUUUUUAUUUGAUUUAGUUGAUUCUGUCAAUGGAGCUCCCUGAAACCCUAAAUUUGACAAGUUUUUUUUUCAGAUAUUUAUGCCCGUAAAUGUAACAAAAGUGCACUGGAUAUUAGUUGUGAUGGACUUUCAAAAAAGUGAAGUGCAAAUCCUAGACUCCAUGAAAUCAAAUACUUAUGUUGCCCCUGCUUAUCUAGUGACAGCAUCGCUGGAGAUGUAUGUAAUGACCAAAUUCGGCCUUGCUACUGGCUUUCCUAAGAGGAGGAACUUAGACUUGACAGAGCAGACAAACACGUAAUUUUUCCUUCCUUAAAGAUAACUUAGACAUUGAGUUCUUUGUUGCAAGUUUACUCAUGCUUGCAUUGUUGUUGUAGAUGUGACUGUGGGCUCCAUGUCCUCUUAUACAUUCAGCGCUAUGGGUGCAGUGACAUGUAUGGAAUUGAUGAGGUUAGUAACAUGCUUGUUAAGUAACAGUGUGAUUUGUUUUUAUUUUACAAAAUAUACUUGUGCCUUUAAAUGUAGGAACAAAUUUUACGUUACCGUAAGCAGCUUGCUUAUGAGCUCAAGCAUGAAUCCAAUGAUCAUCCUUCCACAUCAACCCUGCACAUUGAUGAAUCAUUGGAUGUGCAG